UAGAGUUUGAUCCUGGCUCAGGAUGAACGCUGGCUACAGGCUUAACACAUGCAAGUCGUGGGGAAACGCGGCGGGAGCUUGCUCCCGCUGGCGUCGACCGGCGCACGGGUGAGUAACGCGUAUCCAACCUGCCCCCCGCCGCGGGACAGCCUUGCGAAAGCAAGAUUAAUCCCGCAUGGCCCCGCGCUUGUGCAUUCUGGCGCGGGCAAAGGCCCUGGCCGGCGUGGGAUGGGGAUGCGUCCGAUUAGCUUGUUGGCGGGGCAACGGCCCACCAAGGCGACGAUCGGUAGGGGUUCUGAGAGGAAGGUCCCCCACAUUGAAACUGAGACACGGUCCAAACUCCUACGGGAGGCAGCAGUGAGGAAUAUUGGUCAAUGGAGGCAACUCUGAACCAGCCAAGUAGCGUGCAGGACGACGGCCCUAUGGGUUGUAAACUGCUUUUAUAAGGGGAUAAAGGAUGCCACGUGUGGUGUUUUGCAUGUACCUUAUGAAUAAGGACCGGCUAAUUCCGUGCCAGCAGCCGCGGUAAUACGGAAGGUCCGGGCGUUAUCCGGAUUUAUUGGGUUUAAAGGGAGCGCAGGCCGGAGGUCAAGCGUGCCGUGAAAAACCGGGGCCCAACCCCGGUCGUGCGGCGCGAACUGUCCUUCUUGAGUGGGCGCGGCGCCGCCGGAAUUCGUCGUGUAGCGGUGAAAUGCUUAGAUAUGACGAAGAACUCCGAUCGCGAAGGCAGGCGGCGAGAGCCAUACUGACGCUCAUGCUCGAAAGCGCGGGUAUCGAACAGGAUUAGAUACCCUGGUAGUCCGCGCGGUAAACGAUGGACGCCCGCCCUGCGGCAAUUAGUUUGCGGGGCCAAGCGAAAGCGUUAAGCGUCCCACCUGGGGAGUACGCCGGCAACGGUGAAACUCAAAGGAAUUGACGGGGGCCCGCACAAGCGGAGGAACAUGUGGUUUAAUUCGAUGAUACGCGGGGAACCUUACCCGGGCUUGAACUGCAGGAGAAGGAUACAGAGAUGUUGACGCCCUUCGGGGCUCCUGUGGAGGUGCUGCAUGGUUGUCGUCAGCUCGUGCCGUGAGGUGUCGGCUUAAGUGCCAUAACGAGCGCAACCCUUUUCUUCAGUUGCCAUCAGGUGAUGCUGGGCACUCUGGAGACACUGCCACCGUAAGGUGUGAGGAAGGUGGGGAUGACGUCAAAUCAGCACGGCCCUUACGUCCGGGGCUACACACGUGUUACAAUGGGUGGUACAGAGAGUCGGUCGUCUGCAAAUGCGAUCCAAUCCUUAAAGCCAUCCUCAGUUCGGAUUGGGGUCUGCAACCCGACCCCAUGAAGCUGGAUUCGCUAGUAAUCGCGCAUCAGCCAUGGCGCGGUGAAUACGUUCCCGGGCCUUGCACACACCGCCCGUCA
RNAcentral lists this ribosomal RNA (1401 nucleotides) under uncultured bacterium. Its description in RNAcentral is "16S ribosomal RNA". It matches the Rfam family "Bacterial small subunit ribosomal RNA". The record is from RNAcentral.